AUUGAACGCUGGCGGCAGGCCUAACACAUGCAAGUCGAACGGUAACAGAAAGCAGCUUGCUGCUUUGCUGACGAGUGGCGGACGGGUGAGUAAUGUCUGGGAAACUGCCUGAUGGAGGGGGAUAACUACUGGAAACGGUAGCUAAUACCGCAUAACGUCGCAAGACCAAAGAGGGGGACCUUCGGGCCUCUUGCCAUCGGAUGUGCCCAGAUGGGAUUAGCUUGUUGGUGGGGUAACGGCUCACCAAGGCGACGAUCCCUAGCUGGUCUGAGAGGAUGACCAGCCACACUGGAACUGAGACACGGUCCAGACUC
Molecule: ribosomal RNA, 314 nt
Filed under: uncultured bacterium
Lineage: Bacteria
Description: bacterial SSU rRNA
Rfam family: Bacterial small subunit ribosomal RNA
Source: RNAcentral